GACGAACGCUGGCGGCGUGCUUAACACAUGCAAGUCGAACGGAAAGGCCUGCUUUCCCUUGUGGAUUGCGGGUACUCGAGUGGCGAACGGGUGAGUAACACGUGAGUGAUCUGCCCCCAACUUGGGUAUAAGCCUGGGAAACUGGGUCUAAUUCCCGAUAGGACUGCAGGGUGGUGCCUGUGGUGGAAAACGAUUUUCUAGUGGUUGGGGAUGAGCUCGCGGCCUAUCAGCUUGUUGGUGGGGUAAUGGCCUACCAAGGCGGCGACGGGUAGCCGGCCUGGGAGGGUGGGCGGCCACAUUGGGACUGAGAUACGGCCCAGACUCCUACGGGAGGCAGCAGUGGGGAAGAGUGCACGAUGGGCGGAAGCCUGAUGCAGCGACGCCGCGUGGGGGAUGACGGCCUUCGGGUUGUAAACUCCUUUCGACCGCGAGGAAGCCACCUGGUUGGAAGGGUGGUGACGGUAGUGGUAGAAGAAGCACCGGCUAACUACGUG
This 494-nucleotide ribosomal RNA is filed under the name uncultured bacterium. RNAcentral's name for it is "partial 16S ribosomal RNA". It matches the Rfam family "Bacterial small subunit ribosomal RNA", at positions 28 to 507 of the family's 1533-position model. The record is from RNAcentral.